Molecule: transfer RNA, 73 nt
Filed under: Thermoplasma acidophilum
Lineage: Archaea; Methanobacteriati; Thermoplasmatota; Thermoplasmata; Thermoplasmatales; Thermoplasmataceae
Also listed under: 4 other names
Description: tRNA-Gly
Rfam family: tRNA
About the family: Transfer RNA (tRNA) molecules are approximately 80 nucleotides in length. Their secondary structure includes four short double-helical elements and three loops (D, anti-codon, and T loops).
Source: RNAcentral
GCGGAAGUAGUGUAGUCUGGCAUCACAGGAGCUUCCCAAGCUCCUAACCCGGGUUCAAAUCCCGGCUUCCGCA